Mauremys reevesii (Reeves's turtle) is the source of this 1239-nucleotide long non-coding RNA. RefSeq lists it as uncharacterized. NCBI's taxonomy places the organism in Eukaryota, Metazoa, Chordata, Testudines, Geoemydidae. The record is from RefSeq and is a predicted model, not a curated record. The transcript is spliced from 3 exons.
UGCUGUGUGGCUAGUGGGACAGGUGAUAGCCUGAAGAGCACUUGGUCCUUAUCAAGACCAGGAAAAGUUCACUUGUGCUGUAGAAUCUCGGGGUGCAGAAAGUUCCUAGCAGAAGUUCUUGUGUUAGGGAGCUAUUUGUGAUUCCUACUGCACGCAGUGCUUACUGGUUCUACAAAUCCGAGAUCAGACUUGAAUCCCAGUCUCCUGCAUUUCCAUAGGAACAGCUGUAACUUCACAGUGAUUGCACACCGGAAGCAGGUUGCACAGCUGACAUCCGAAACAAAAUUAAGAGUCAUACGAAGAUAGGACAUUGCCACAGCUCUGGCGUAAUUAGGACUCAUCAUAAUCCAAUACAGGAAAUUGGCACAUCUGCUUUUCAGGCUGUUGAUCCAACUGUGUUGCUGAAUGUGCGCACUGGCAACGGGAGUUCUGAUGCAUCUUGCUGUGUUCUGCAAAGCUGUCUUUGCAUAAAUAUUUACAUAAUUUCCUCCAAACAUCGGUGGAAGCAGUUGUUUUUAACACUUUUCCUCCCAUGUGUAAUGCUCGUUUUUUCUUCCCCGAUCCUGAGAAAGAAGUGUUGACUUUGUUACAGUGUGUCUCAUUCUGAAUCAGGUUAAAUAAACAGUGGUAAAUUUUUAACCAAUAUAAUUGAAAGUAGAGCAAAGGUUCACAUCUGGCUUUUUGAUAGCAAUAACAUGGGUCUGAUCCUCCUUCUGUUGAGGUCAAUGCCUAAACCACCAAUGAAUUCAGUGGAUGCAAAAUCAGGGAGUGCUUUGUAUUUGAGCCCACCUCUGUUUCCUCUCUCAGAUCCCUCUUCCUUGAUUUCAGGAAUGCAUUGCCUUUUUUAUGAAGUAGCUUAUUCCUCUGGCUAUGGAGAGUUAAUAUCUAUUGUUCAAGGUUGGCAUAACCAACUGUCUGCUGGGGAAGUCAGAAAUAGUCAUCACAACAAUAUUGUCACAAUUAAAAAAUAUUUUUUUUACAGCUGGAUUGUCCCUUCACAAUCUGCUCUGGAUCAUGAGUGGUCCCAAGAGCAGCAAACCAGGGAGAGAGUUGAUAUUCUCAGAGUCACAGUUCUUUCUCUCGUUCUCUCAAUGGGCACAGGUCAGAAGCAAGUUACUUCCUGCUCUGUGCUAGCCAGCACCGGCGUCGGCACCUUGGCAAUUUCCAUCUCACCUGUGCAGAGUGGAGAGUAGCAGCCCCAUUGAAGUGGCUUUCCCCCUGUGCUGUGAGUCAUGACCU